Molecule: RNA transcript, 1922 nt
Organism: Amphiprion ocellaris (clown anemonefish)
Lineage: Eukaryota; Metazoa; Chordata; Actinopteri; Pomacentridae
Gene name: kinesin heavy chain-like
Exons: 4
Source: RefSeq, a predicted model, not a curated record
UGAGAGAUCAGGUGGCCGAUCUUAAAAUAAAUCAAUAUUGAUUUUCUUAUACAGCAUUAAAGUUUUGCGAAGUGAGGGGGCGGGGCUACUUGAUUGACAGUCCGGUCUGGAACGAUGGACAGGUCCUAUGGAGGAGGCAGCAGAGACUCUGCUCUCAUGGUUUGGAUUAAUUCUGAUAUAAUAACUGUUGGUUUAUUUAUCGGUGCAGCAGCAGAACAUUUUCCACAGACAGUUUUCCUGCCCGUUGGCUUGUUUUAACCAGUUUUCUACCUUCGGCUGAUUCUACCAGCAGACACUUAAAGGACUCUAAUAGUUCGAGUGAAAGUAGCAGUUCCUCCUUAAGGUCAGAGAUUGCAGCAUCUGAGGGCCUCUUCAAAAGAAGACGUAGUUGAUGAAGGCGUUCUGGAGCAGGACCAGAAAGACCACGACCAAGCAGCCUUGAGAUCUUAUGCAGCGUCUCCCUCAGGUCCCUCUCUAUCUCCCCACACAUCCACCAACCACUGGAACACAUCUCCAAAGUUCUGCCAGGGCCAGCUCAGCUUCCCCUCAGAAGAAGUGCUGCCACCUGUCAGAUGAAGGAGCCUUUUGAGAGGCAGCUGUCAUCGUGAUUGGACUGUACUUUGGUCUGUUCCAAUCCAGCUUCAGCUCCAGAGACGGCAGGCGGGACGAGUCAACGGAGGCCGGGUGGACGAAGGCAUGAAGCUGAGUACAAUCCAGAAAACAACAGAGGAGGAGUGCAAACAGAGUGGCAUGACCAAAGAACUACAGACUCUUCACAACCUGCUCAAACUCUUGGUACAGGACCUCACCACACGGGUCAAGAAGGUUUCCAUCUCCUCAUUUCUACUCUGAAGCUCACCUUCUCCUGCUCAAACUGCUGACAAAUGUUUCUGCUGCUCUAAAGUCUGCUCUCCAGAACUUCCUAAAAACUCUCAAAGUCUCUUCUGCUGCAGGUUGCUUUGUAGAACUAUUCCAGAAAACCUCACUAAACCACAUGGAGGGGCCUCAAGAUAGUCGUCCAAAUGAAACCGUACAAAAACCAAACUAGCACAACCUAAACACUAAAGUCUCCUGCAGCCUACCAGAGAACCUCUGAGAACAGAGAAUCAGGACAGGAACUCUUACCUUCUGGACAACCAAGAACACAGAAUGUGUCUGACCAAAAACCUCUAAAGACUCACUACAGCCAAGAUAAAGACACAACUCAGGUGCACCAAAUCCACUAAUCACUGCACACAUUAGCACCAUGUGCUAACUGUGGCUAAAGAACCUCAUUUACCAAGACAACUAUCCAGUACAAAGCCCUAAAACACACCAAGAAACACAUUAAAGACGAUUUUACUGCUGGAAGCUGCAAGCAAACGCCUAAAGCACAAUCUAAAGCAAUGGAGCCAAACCCGGUUCACUGGUGAAGAGAAGCAGAGGAAACGUUUGUCUGCAGCUAAAUAAAGCAGGAAGACACUGAGCUGCUCAGGUGUUCCUGAUAACACUGAGCUGCUCAGGUGUUCCUGAUAACACCAAGCAGCCACCUGGACAGCCAAUAGGAACACAGCUUACUGGAAGUCCAGAGGGCUGGCUUAGUGAAGUAAAGACCUUUAUCUGUUUUUGCUCUUUUUGAUUGUUUUAUUGUCUCUUCUGUUUAAUUUGAUCUUCUAAAGUCUAACUGCUGUCUUUUCAAAUGUUUUGUCUUUAGUUUGAUUCUUCUUAAACGUUUAGUUUUGCUCUUUUCUCAUCUUAUGUUCUUUUCUAAUGUCUGAUUUGAUUUCCAAAUGUUUUGUCUUUUUAAUGUUUAAUUGUUGUUUUUUUUUGGUUUUAUUUGCUUGUUUGAAAUUUUUUUCUUUCCCAAUAUGUAAUUUUACGAUUAAAUCUUUAAGGUUUUUGUUUUUAAAUGUUUUACCACCUUUUAAUGUUUAAUUUUCUUU